This is a long non-coding RNA of Gymnogyps californianus (California condor), 630 nucleotides long. RefSeq lists it as uncharacterized. The transcript is spliced from 3 exons. The record is from RefSeq and is a predicted model, not a curated record. Lineage: Eukaryota; Metazoa; Chordata; Aves; Accipitriformes; Cathartidae.
GCCCCGGCCGCUGAGUCAGGCCGUUCCCUGCGCUCCCGCGGCCGGUACAUCGCGUCCCCACGCCGGGCGCCUGGCAGCCCGCCCGCCCGCCCGCCCGGUGCGGCUCCGAGCAGGGGCAGGGACCCGGCCCCGGGCGGCCCCUCCGGGCUCCCUGGAUGCGGCUCAUGGGGCUGGCGAUGCCGCGGCCGGGAGGAAAGCCCUUGGGAGCUGCAGGGAGCCGUGAGUCCGAGGAAAGAGAGGGGGCUCACAGCCGGAGGAGGGAUCGCCCCGGCCUGGAUCCAUCUGCUCGCCGCCGGCCAGGCUCCACGACGACACCCAGCAUUCCUGCUGCGGCCUCUCCGGAGCCACCGCUCUCACAUCACACAAGGGGCUUGGGGGCCAGCACGAGGAAGGACAUCACCAGUGAAGGGGGUCUCCGGCUUUUGCUCCCCGGUUCUGGUGGGGGGCAAGGCUUUCCCCCAGACCCCCCGUCCUUUUGGGGCCGGGUGACGGCCGCACGGUGGGCGCAGGGCUGGGGCAGGACAUGUGCGGCCAGCUGGAUGGCGAGGGGGAACAAGCAGUGCCCCUGGCAGCCGCCCCGAGGCCAGCCGGGAUUAUUUAUGGAGCAGAUUUCCUCCAGGUUGUGUUACA